UACGAAGGGGACUAGCGUUGUUCGGAUUUACUGGGCUUAAAGCGCGCGUAGGCGGAUGUUUAAGUGUCUUGUGAAAUCCCACGGCUCAACCGUGGAACUGCUGGGCAUACUGGACAUCUCGAGGCACUCAGGGGCGAGCGGAACAAGUGGUGGAGCGGUGAAAUGCGUAGAUAUUGGGAGGAACACCAGUGGCGAAGGCGGCUACCUGGACCGGUUCUGACGCUGAGGCGCGAAAGCGUGGGUAGCAAACAGG
Molecule: ribosomal RNA, 253 nt
Filed under: uncultured bacterium
Lineage: Bacteria
Description: partial 16S ribosomal RNA
Rfam family: Bacterial small subunit ribosomal RNA
Source: RNAcentral